ACACAUGCAAGUCGAGGGGCAGCAUGGACCCAGCUUUGCUGGGUUUGAUGGCGACCGGCGCACGGGUGAGUAACGCGUAUCCAACCUGCCCUUUACUCCGGGAUAGUCUCCUGAAAGGGAGUUUAAUACCGGAUGUGUUUGUCUUUCCGCAUGGGAGCGACAAAUAAAGAUUGAUUGGUAAAGGAUGGGGAUGCGUCCCAUUAGCUUGUUGGCGGGGUAACGGCCCACCAAGGCGACGAUGGGUAGGGGUUCUGAGAGGAAGGUCCCCCACAUUGGAACUGAGACACGGUCCAAACUCCUACGGGAGGCAGCAGUGAGGAAUAUUGGUCAAUGGGCGGGAGCCUGAACCAGCCAAGUAGCGUGAAGGAUGACGGCCCUACGGGUUGUAAACUUCUUUUAUAAGGGAAUAAAGUUCGCCACGCGUGGUGUUUUGUAUGUACCUUAUGAAUAAGCAUCGGCUAAUUCCGUGCCAGCAGCCGCGGUAAUACGGAAGAUGCGAGCGUUAUCCGGAUUUAUUGGGUUUAAAGGGAGCGUAGGCGGGCUUUUAAGUCAGCGGUCAAAUGCCACGGCUCAACCGUGGCCAGCCGUUGAAACUGCAAGCCUUGAGUCUGCACAGGGCACAUGGAAUUCGUGGUGUAGCGGUGAAAUGCUUAGAUAUCACGAAGAACUCCGAUCGCGAAGGCAUUGUGCCGGGGCAGCACUGACGCUGAGGCUCGAAAGUGCGGGUAUCAAACAGGAUUAGAUACCCUGGUAGUCCGCACGGUAAACGAUGAAUG
Molecule: ribosomal RNA, 776 nt
Filed under: uncultured bacterium
Lineage: Bacteria
Description: bacterial SSU rRNA
Rfam family: Bacterial small subunit ribosomal RNA
Source: RNAcentral